AGCGAACGCUGGCGGCAGGCCUAACACAUGCAAGUCGAACGAACUCUUCGGAGUUAGUGGCGGACGGGUGAGUAACACGUGGGAACGUGCCUUUUGGUUCGGAAUAACUCAGGGAAACUUGUGCUAAUACCGAAUGUGCCCUUCGGGGGAAAGAUUUAUCGCCAUUAGAGCGGCCCGCGUCUGAUUAGCUAGUUGGUGAGGUAACGGCUCACCAAGGCGACGAUCAGUAGCUGGUCUGAGAGGAUGACCAGCCACACUGGGACUGAGACACGGCCCAGACUCCUACGGGAGGCAGCAGUGGGGAAUCUUGCGCAAUGGGCGAAAGCCUGACGCAGCCAUGCCGCGUGGAUGAUGAAGGUCUUAGGAUUGUAAAAUUCUUUCACCGGGGACGAUAAUGACGGUACCCGGAGAAGAAGCCCCGGCUAACUUCGUG
RNAcentral lists this ribosomal RNA (433 nucleotides) under uncultured bacterium. Its description in RNAcentral is "partial 16S ribosomal RNA". It matches the Rfam family "Bacterial small subunit ribosomal RNA", at positions 29 to 507 of the family's 1533-position model. The record is from RNAcentral.